UACGUAGGGUGCAAGCGUUAAUCGGAAUUACUGGGCGUAAAGCGUGCGCAGGCGGUGAUGUAAGACAGGUGUGAAAUCCCCGGGCUCAACCUGGGAACUGCAUUUGAAACUGGCGGGCUUGAGUGUGGCAGAGGGGGGUGGAAUUCCGCGUGUAGCAGUGAAAUGCGUAGAGAUGCGGAGGAACACCGAUGGCGAAGGCAGCCCCCUGGGCCAACACUGACGCUCAGGCACGAAAGCGUGGGGAGCAAACAGG
RNAcentral lists this ribosomal RNA (253 nucleotides) under uncultured bacterium. Its description in RNAcentral is "partial 16S ribosomal RNA". It matches the Rfam family "Bacterial small subunit ribosomal RNA", at positions 524 to 776 of the family's 1533-position model. The record is from RNAcentral.